UUCCAUUAGAUUGAAUCCUACUAAUAAUAAAAGAAAGAUCACCUUAGUCAAAAAGAUGAUCUAAGUGCUAGGAUGGCCAAUUUAACUAGAAAGGUUGAAGCCAUGGUGUAACAGUCCGUUUUUAGUGGUGUCGAAAAUAGUGAUUUUGGGACCACAAUUCUGACGAGUAAAUUAUUAUUUUAUUAUUUAUUUAAUGCAUAUGAGAUUAUAUUAAGGUCGUGUAAAAGUUUCGUUAAGAAAUUUUGUAGUUUAAAUAGUUAUUUAGAUGAAAAGAACUAAAUCGUAAAAAAAUGUAAAAGUUGAAUUCUAUUAGUUAAAAGGGAUAAAUGGCUAUGGAAAGGAAAGCUAAUGGAAUAAGAUAGUAAUUAUACCAUUUUAAGAGUUAGUGGAUAGUUAUGGACAAUGUUUUAUUGAAAAUUUUGAUUAGUAAUAAGGGUAAAAUGGUAAAAUAGUAAAUAAGCAUAAAAUUAGAUAAGCUAAAAAUCAUCAUCUUUUUCAUUUUGUUUUCUUCAAAACUGAUUCUUCAUGGAAGCUUAGCUAGAUUUUUAUUCAAGCUUUAUUUCUCCCUUGAAUGGUAUGUAUUCAAGCCCCGUUUUUAAUGAUUUUUAUGUUUUUGAGUUCGUUUUAGCUUAAUCUAGCUAGCCCGGGAGUUAAUUUGUAAAAUUAUUAAAUAUUUAAGGAAUUUAUAUGGAUGUUUUUGAAGGCUUUUUGAAGUUAUUUAAUGGAUUAGUAAUCUUGGUUGUUAAAUAAACAUGUUUUGUUAAAUGAUUUUGAUGAAUUUUGAAAUAAUAUAUUAAAUUGUUAAAAGUAUAAAACCAUGGGUUUGGUUGUGAAAUGUUGGUAAUAAUGGGCUGUUUCAAGGUCCCUUGUAACAUUGGUUAAAUUGGAUUUUGGUUAAAAUGGUUAAAUUUCAAGUUAUGAGCUUAAGGACUAAAUUGCGAAAAGUUAAUAUGUUAGGG
This 959-nucleotide long non-coding RNA is filed under the name Gossypium raimondii (Peruvian cotton). Its description in RNAcentral is "long non-coding RNA (GRAI_LNC005359)". Lineage: Eukaryota; Viridiplantae; Streptophyta; Magnoliopsida; Malvales; Malvaceae. The record is from RNAcentral.